RNAcentral lists this ribosomal RNA (353 nucleotides) under uncultured bacterium. RNAcentral's name for it is "bacterial SSU rRNA". It matches the Rfam family "Bacterial small subunit ribosomal RNA", at positions 917 to 1267 of the family's 1533-position model. The record is from RNAcentral.
GGACCCGCACAAGUAGUGGAGCAUGUGGUUUAAUUCGAAGAUACGCGCAGAACCUUACCAACACUUGACAUGUUCGUCGCGACUUUAAGAGAUUAAAGUUUUCGGUUCGGCCGGACGAAACACAGGUGCUGCAUGGCUGUCGUCAGCUCGUGUCGUGAGAUGUUGGUUAAGUCCCGCAACGAGCGCAACCCUCACUUUUAGUUGCCAUCAUUAAGUUGGGCACUCUGAAAGAACUGCCAGUGAUAAGCUGGAGGAAGGUGGGGAUGACGUCAAGUCCUCAUGGCCCUUACGUGUUGGGCUACACACGUGCUACAAUGGCCGGUACAAAGGGCAGCGAAACCGCGAGGGUCAAG